This 453-nucleotide ribosomal RNA is filed under the name uncultured Gemmatimonadota bacterium. Its description in RNAcentral is "bacterial SSU rRNA". It matches the Rfam family "Bacterial small subunit ribosomal RNA", at positions 340 to 793 of the family's 1533-position model. The record is from RNAcentral. Lineage: Bacteria; Pseudomonadati; Gemmatimonadota.
UACGGGAGGCAGCAGUGGGGAAUCUUGCGCAAUGGCCUAACGGCUGACGCAGCGACGCCGCGUGUGGGAUGAAGCUCCUCGGAGUGUAAACCACUGUUGCCCGGGACGAACAGCUCGAUUAAUCGAGCCUGACGGUACCGGGUGAGGAAGCACCGGCUAACUCCGUGCCAGCAGCCGCGGUAAUACGGGGGGUGCGAGCGUUGUCCGGAAUCACUGGGCGUAAAGGGCGCGUAGGUGGUUUGAUAAGGGUGUGGUGAAAGUCCGGGGCUCAACCCCGGAUCUGCCGUGCCGACUGUCAAACUCGAGGACUGUAGAGGCAGACGGAAUUCCGGGUGUAGCGGUGGAAUGCGUAGAGAUCCGGAGGAAGACCGGUGGCGAAGGCGGUCUGCUGGGCAGUUUCUGACACUGAGGCGCGACAGCGUGGGGAGCAAACAGGAUUAGAUACCCUGGUAG